Long non-coding RNA from Paramisgurnus dabryanus, 3794 nucleotides. RefSeq lists it as uncharacterized. The record is from RefSeq and is a predicted model, not a curated record. NCBI's taxonomy places the organism in Eukaryota, Metazoa, Chordata, Actinopteri, Cypriniformes, Cobitidae.
UCAAUGCUGGAAACACCCCUGGUUACAAGCCUGUAUACAUUUCUGUGUGUGUGUGUGUGUGUGUGUGUGUGUGUGUGUGUGUGUGUGUGUGUGUGUGUGUGUGUGUGUGUGUGUGUGUGUGUGUGUGUGUGUGUGUGUGUGUGUGUGUUUUUCAAGAGUAACAAGUAGCUCGCUACUUGAGAAUUUUUUCAUUGCAUACUUUUUACUUUCACGCAAGUACAUUUUAAAAUCUUUUACUAGUAAUUAUUUAUUUAGUUACCUGUACUUUUACUAGUUUUUGAAUAAUCUUUCCACGUCUGUUAAAAUCUUCAUGAAUCCAGGCUGAGUUUGCCAUGUUUAUAAUAUUAAAUUCAUGAUUUACUCACCCCUAAGCCGUCCGAGAUGCAUAUGUCCAUCAUUUUUCAGAUGAACACAUUUUCAGUUAUUAAAUUUGGAGAAACCUAUCAGUGACUUGGAUUUUUUUUUUCUGGGGGGUGCCCUUUUUUAGGUCAGAGCAAUUGCCCCUCAAAAUUCCUGUGCACAUCCCUGAUGCUUAGCUACUUUUGAACGGGAACACGAUCGAUUGCAUUAUGCUGUCAAUCACUGAGUGAAAUAUUUUCUUUUAUCGUAAAUUUUAGAGAAACAGUUGUUACAAGUCUGUAUAAAUUUCUCUGUGUGUGUGUCUUAUGAAUGCUUUCACCUAUUGAAACCAAACUUUGUAUAUGAACUUGGGACUCCAAUGCGAGGAGGAUGCACAAGAUAAAAAAAACAUUCUAUAAUUUUACAUUUCACAAAUCACGUUAGUGACCGCACCAGAGCAAGCACACUUUUGCGGUUCCUCCGGUGCAUUUUCUAGUUAUUUUUGUAAAUAGACUACUGGUCAAAGGUUUAUGGUGAUUUACUCAUUCUUUAUUAAUAUUUUAUUCUACAUUUGAGAAUAAAAGGACACUGACUUUUUACAGGGUGUCAGGGACUUCAUCAAGUGGAAGGGUGUUUUACUUAUUUGGUAAUUAUUAGUAGGGGAGAGCAGAGGUGAAAGUACCAGAAAAACUUAAAUUUAAAACAUAAUGUUUUAGACCAAGAUAUAUUUUUGCCUUGGUCAGUAACUCACAAGUGUUGUCUAUCAAUACCAGGUGGAAUUGUAAACAAAUGUAAAACGGCAGUAUAAUUUCACUUUGAACAUAAGUAGCGCUUUGUUACUUUUGACCCCGUCAGCUGGGAUGAAACACACACAGGUGGGUCAAAAGGGAGGGGCAACCUUCCGAUCUCUAUGAUGAAGCCAAUAUUACUGAAGUGACUUAAACUGCAAUUCAUUGAUUGGCCACUAGAGGCUGGCUCCAAAAGGGAGUCAAUCCCCAUAGACCUCCCCAUGUAAAAAAUGCCCAACUUUACAGUAGAAAAUAAUGUUUACGUCCUGGUACAAAAAGUUAUUUGCAUUUUUAAGAUGAUGUACACUUUUUUGUCUUUAGAAAGAUCUUUUUUCAUACCCAACAGCAACAAAAGAAUUGACUGAAAAAGAUAAAGGCGCAGCCAUUGUCUUUCGAGGUAGAAGGGGCCUAUAACUACUACUGCUACAACUUCCUUAAUAAUUUGGAACAGCAUAUUUUGCAUAUUUUUCAAAGUAUUAAAGGUGCCCUUCCUCUGUCGUUUUUAUCGCUUUAUAUUGUUGUCUGAGGUCUACUCAUGACGUUUGCAUGCUUUUUACAUUAAAAAACAUCAAAAGCAAUAAGUAAUAGGCCAUUUUGUACCCUGAUUUUGAGGCUGGUUAGAGAAAUGAUAAUUUUUAAUGGGCGGGCUGCAUUGACGACUUGGAAGUAAACGCCCACUGCUAUGAUUGGAUAACAGUUUUUCGUUCAAACUAACUUUCAAUUUAAUCUCAUGUGUAAUCAGUUUAAUGUUAAGUGAGUGUCUUAAGACACAGUGUCUUUCUUACACACGCAUAUUUUAUCAUAAACCCUUUUGACACACACACAAGCGUCUUUUACAUAAACCCUUCGACGCGCGUGUAACGAACGCACAAACACACACAUGUGUCUUUUAUCACAUUGAUGCGUGUGCAUCAUGAAUUCGCGUGAAUCGCGUCCCUCUGAAGAGAAAUCCCGGCCGCAACUGAUAACACAUAGUACACUGAAAAAAAUGGACUUGGUGGGUCUUUGAAUUUAAAUAAAAUAAACAUGUAUAUGCAACACAAAAUAUUUAUAUUCCUUGUGUAAACAUAAUUUAAUUGAUAAGGAUGAAAAUGUUUUGUUUGAAUGUAAAAUGAACACAUUAUUCUCACAUUGAUUAAAAUUGAUUGAAUUGAAUAGUUAAAGCAAUAAAAUUGAGUUUGCACACAAAACGGCACCUCCUGAGCAGAAGGUGGCAGUAACGCUCAAUGAAAAGGACGUCAAUCGCCAUAAAAGAAGAAUAAAGAUCGUUUGUUUUGGGCGCCAAAAUGAAGACUCAGCAGCAGUCAGUCAGAAGAACUCUCUCAGACGGACACCACGUUAUUAAAGUCCAUCAUCCUUGCAUGCGCUACACACUCAAAAGCAUUGAUAAAUGCUGAAUUUAAAAGAAUCACUACUGUCUAAUGUUCCUGCGUGUCACCUGGACCUCCAAUCCAAAAACCUGACGAAACUCUUCUAUCAGAAAGGAGGACAGCUAGCAAAAAGACUUGGAACAAUCAAUGAUCAAAUGACAGAAGGCAUGGAUGAAGUCAGCAUCAGUGUGGUCAUUUGAAGACACCACUGUUGGGAUUUGUGCUCUCAAACAACAUGCUUCUUGUGAUGAAGAAGAGGAUCUUUGUAUAGUCCUGGAAGGCACGAAGGUGUUGCAACACCGUGCCAUGUUGUUUGAGCUGAUGUAUGCCUUAAACCUGACCUAUCCUGAUCUCCGCUUUAUUUUUGAGGAAAUCCAAAAGAUUUUAAUGGAACUGCAUUGAGCGUAACUUUAACGAACAGUUUCUUUCAGUGAAAGGAUCAGAAAGACUGUGCUGCUCAUUUAUGUUCUUUUUAUUUAUCUGUUUUAAGUGUUUUCUCUUAUUAAAACAUUAACAGUUUGCUGCUCAGAGUCGAUUUUGGAAAUGGUUGUUGUAUUUUGUUUUUGUUGAAUCUUUGAUUAUCAGUUUAUACAAAUGCUGUAGCUCUGACUUUCUGAAGGAUUGAUAUUUUCCAGUUUGUAAAUCCAUUUAAAAAAUAAUAGUACUUAUUGUUUUGCAUGUCUCUUUGGAAUGCAGUGUUUGUGUUUUAGCACUUCUAAAUCUACUGUGAUAGUAACUAUUUUAAACAUUUGGGUCAGUUUCACAGAUGGGGCUUUUCCUAGUCCCAGACUUUUGCAAUGCCUUAAUUUGAAAACAUAUUGCACUGACAUAUCGUGACAUAUAUGAGUGCCAUUGUUUUGUCUCAAGAUGUACUCCAGUGUUGUUUUUGUAAGGUAGGUUUGUUUGUAAACUUUUUUUGUAAAAAAUAUUCUAAUAUAACUAGAGCCUAGUCAUGGCUUAAUCUACAACCUGUCUGGGAAAUUGCCCCUUUGUAUGUACUGCAUGUGCUGAUUGUUGUAAUAGUUAUUGACUGUUAAUGAAUUAAUGUGUAAUGAUUUAAAUGAAUUGAUGAUCUGAAAGCAGUGGUUUGCCUCAAUAUCACUAAACAUUUGUUCAAAACUCUUUGCUUUUUAUGCCAAUGCAAAUGUAUUUUGUAUUUAAAAAAGAAAUAAAUAACAUUUGGAUAAUUAUGGGUGAUUAUUCUGGUGCCAGAGACAUAAUGAAAUUGCUUUAGAGUUACAUAAUCCCAUAAUAUAAGCAUUAAAAAAGCAUGUUGGAAUUACAGAUGAAAAUCUAG